CCUACCGGGAGGCAGCAGUGGGGAAUAUUGCGCAAUGGGCGAAAGCCUGACGCAGCGACGCCGCGUGAGGGAUGAAGGUCUUCGGAUCGUAAACCUCUGUCAGCAGGGAAGAACGGUCACUGCGCUAAUCAGCAGUGAAUUGACUGUACCUGCAAAGGCAGCACCGGCUAACUCCGUGCCAGCAGCCGCGGUAAUACGGAGGGUGCGAUCGUUAAUCGGAAUUACUGGGCGUAAAGGGCUCGUAGGCGGGAUGUCAAGGCAAGGGUGAAAACCCCGCGCUCAACGUGGGAACUGCCUUUGAAACUGGCAAACUUGAGAGUGUGAGAGGAUAGUGGAAUUCCAGGUGUAGGAGUGAAAUCCGUAGAUAUCUGGAGGAACAUCAGUGGCGAAGGCGACUAUCUGGCACAUAACUGACGCUGAGGAGCGAAAGCGUGGGUAGCAAACAGGAUUAGAUACCCUUGUAGUC
This 466-nucleotide ribosomal RNA is filed under the name uncultured bacterium. RNAcentral describes it as "partial 16S ribosomal RNA". It matches the Rfam family "Bacterial small subunit ribosomal RNA", at positions 338 to 795 of the family's 1533-position model. The record is from RNAcentral.